AGAAAGUUGAUUCUCAAAGAGAUACAGAAUUCUUAAACUAGUUAAUCCACUCAACGAAGUAGGAAUUUGACCUGUGAGAUUAUUCAUGCUCAAUUCUAGGUCCUGAAGUGAUGUCAGCUUUCCCAACUCGGGAGGGAUGGGACCAGAAGGUUGAUUCUCAUAGAGAUACAGAAUUCUUAAACUAGUUAAUCCACUCAACGAAGUAGGAAUUUGACCUAUGAGAUCAUUAGUGCCCAAUCUUAGCUCCUGGAGUGAUGUCAACUUUCCCAACUCGGGAAGGAUGGGACCAGAAAGUUGAUUAGUAUUGAGAUACAGAGUUCUUAAACUAGUUAAUCCAUUCAACGAAGUAGGAAUUUGACCUGUGAGAUCAUUAGUGCCCAAUCCUAGCUCCUGGAGUGAUGCCAACUUUCUCAACUUGGCAGGGAUGGGACCAAAAAGUUGAUUCUCAAAGAGAUACAGAAUUCUUAAACUAGUUAAUCCACUCAACGAAGUAGGAAUUUGACCUGUGAGAUUAUUCAUGCUCAAUUCUAGGUCCUGAAGUGAUGUCAACUUUCCCAACUUGGGAGGGAUGGGACCAGAAAGUUGAUUCUCAUAGAGAUACAGAGUUCUUAAACUAGUUAAUCCACUCAACGAAGUAGGAAUUUGACCUGUGAGAUCAUUCGUGCUCAAUAUUAGGUCCCGGAGUGAUGUCAACUUUCCCAACUCGAGAGGGAUGGGACCAGAAAGUUGAUUUUCAUAGAGAUACAGAGUUCUUAAACUAGUUAAUCCACUCAACGAAGUAGGAAUUUGACGUGUGAGAUCAUUCGUGCUCAAUAUUAGGUCCUGGAGUGAUGUCAACUUUCCCAACUCGGGAGGGAUGGGACCAGAAAGUUGAUUAGUAUCGAGAUACAGAGUUCUUAAACUAGUUAAUCCACUCAACGAAGUAGGAAUUUGACCUGUGAGAUCAUUCGCGCUCAAUUCUAGGUCAUGGAGUGAUGUCAACUUUCCCAACUCGGGAGGGAUGGGACUAGAAAGUUGAUUAGUAUGGAUAUACAGAGUUCUUAAACUAGUUAAUCCACUCAAUGAAGUAGGAAUUUGACCUGUGAGAUCAUUCGUGCUCAAUUCUAGGACCUGGAGUGAUGUCAACUUUCCCAACUCGGGAGGGAUGGGACUAGAAAGUUUAUUAGUAUUUGAUACAGAGUUCUUAAACUAGUUAAUCCACUCAACGAAGUAGGAAUUUGACCUGUGAGAUCAUUCGCGCUCAAUUCUAGGUCAUGGAGUGAUGUCAACUUUCCCAACUCGGGAGGGAUGGGACUAGAAAGUUGAUUAGUAUGGAUAUACAGAGUUCUUAAACUAGUUAAUCUACUCAAUGAAGUAGGAAUUUGACUUGUGAGAUCAUUCGUGCUCAAUUCUAGGUCCUGAAGUGAUGUCAACUUUCCCAACUCGGGAGGGAUGGGACCAGAAAGUUUAUUAGUAUGGAGAUACAGAGUUCUUAAACCAGUUAAUCCACUCAAUGAAGUAGGAGUUUGACCUGUAAGAUUAUUCGUGAGGUUCUGGAGUGAUGUCAACUUUCCCAACUCAGGAGGGAUGGGACCAGAAAGUUGAUUAGUAUCGAGAUACAGAGUUCUUAAACUAGUUAAUGCACUCAAUGAAGUAGGAGUUUGAUCCACUCAAUGAAGUAGGAGUUUGACCUGUAAGAUUAUUCGUGAGGUUCUGGAGUGAUGUCAACUUUCCCAACUCGGGAGGGAUGGGACCAAAAAGUUGAUUAGUAUCGAGAUACAGAGUUCUUAAACUAGUUAAUCCACUCAAUGAAGUAGGAAUUUGACCUGUGAGAUUAUUCGUGCUCAAUUCUAGGUUCUGGAGUGAUGUCAGCUUUCCCAACUCGGGAGGGAUGGGACCAGAAAGCUGAUUAGUAUGGAGAUACAGAGUUCUUAAACUAGUUAAUCCACUCAAUGAAGUAGGAAUUUGACCUGUGAGAUCAUUCGUGCUCAAUUUUAGGUCCUGGAGUGAUGUCAACUUUCCCAACUCAGGAGAGAUGAGACCAAAAAGUUGAUUAGUAUGGAGAUACAGAGUUCUUAAACUAGUUAAUCC
RNAcentral lists this long non-coding RNA (2070 nucleotides) under Olea europaea (common olive). RNAcentral's name for it is "long non-coding RNA (OEUR_LNC003108)". The record is from RNAcentral. Lineage: Eukaryota; Viridiplantae; Streptophyta; Magnoliopsida; Lamiales; Oleaceae.